CGUGAGCCGGGGUCAGGCUCCCGAGCAGUUCCUGAAGACCCUCCCCACGGAUCCCUCAGCCUCACCUGGCCUGGUCUCGAAGGCAGACACUGCCUCCUGCACAGGGCCUGGCAGGCUGUGGGGCUCCGUGAACAUCAGCUGAAUGGGCGAGGCGGUCAGGGGACUCCAGGCGUCCUCGCACGCUGGCCCUCCCGCCACACACGCGGCCGCUGUCUCUUGGUCAGCCCUGAGCGGGCACCGGGGUGAGCACAACUCCAACAGCGUCAGCUGGGGAGCAGCGCGGGAUUCUGGAACGCGCUGGGAGAACGCUGGGUGCCGUCCAGGCACUGUG
RNAcentral lists this long non-coding RNA (331 nucleotides) under Equus caballus (horse). RNAcentral describes it as "lncRNA (ENSECAG00000046242.1)". Lineage: Eukaryota; Metazoa; Chordata; Mammalia; Perissodactyla; Equidae. The record is from RNAcentral.